AUACUUACCUGGCAGGGGAGAUACCAUAAUGAAGAAGGUGGUUCACCCAGGGCGAGGCUCAACCAUUGCUGUCUGCCUGUGCUGAUCUCUCUCUGUGGGUCUGCAGC
This 107-nucleotide small nuclear RNA is filed under the name Dicentrarchus labrax (European seabass). RNAcentral's name for it is "U1 spliceosomal RNA (ENSDLAG00005020635.2)". It matches the Rfam family "U1 spliceosomal RNA". From Rfam's summary of the family: U1 is a small nuclear RNA (snRNA) component of the spliceosome (involved in pre-mRNA splicing). Its 5' end forms complementary base pairs with the 5' splice junction, thus defining the 5' donor site of an intron. There are significant differences in sequence and secondary structure between metazoan and yeast U1 snRNAs, the latter being much longer (568 nucleotides as compared to 164 nucleotides in human). Lineage: Eukaryota; Metazoa; Chordata; Actinopteri; Moronidae. The record is from RNAcentral.